CGGCGGACGGGUGAGUAAUGCCUAGGAAUCUGCCUGGUAGUGGGGGACAACGUUUCGAAAGGAACGCUAAUACCGCAUACGUCCUACGGGAGAAAGUGGGGGAUCUUCGGACAUCACGCUAUCAGAUGAGCCUAGGUCGGAUUAGCUAGUUGGUGGGGUAACGGCUCACCAAGGCGACGAUCCGUAACUGGUCUGAGAGGAUGAUCAGUCACACUGGAACUGAGACACGGUCCAG
This 235-nucleotide ribosomal RNA is filed under the name uncultured Pseudomonadales bacterium. RNAcentral's name for it is "partial 16S ribosomal RNA". It matches the Rfam family "Bacterial small subunit ribosomal RNA", at positions 96 to 334 of the family's 1533-position model. Lineage: Bacteria; Pseudomonadati; Pseudomonadota; Gammaproteobacteria; Pseudomonadales. The record is from RNAcentral.